GUGCAGCCAAUUAAGCCGAUAGGGUUCCUUUCCUCACGGGGGCCCAGUGUGCAGUGGCUGCAGGCAGCAGCCUCUUUGGUAGUGUAGUAACCUGUUGCUUGUACAGUUGCCCUAAGGGACCUUGGAGACAGUU
This is a small nucleolar RNA of Jaculus jaculus (lesser Egyptian jerboa), 133 nucleotides long. Its record names the gene SNORA70. It matches the Rfam family "Small nucleolar RNA SNORA70". Rfam says of the family: snoRNA U70 seems to be exclusive to mammals and is a member of the H/ACA class of snoRNA which contain H (ANANNA) and ACA box motifs. H/ACA box snoRNAs are involved in the conversion of uridines to pseudouridines (5-ribosyluracil) a constituent of structural RNAs (transfer, ribosomal, small nuclear, and small nucleolar). The record is from Ensembl. Lineage: Eukaryota; Metazoa; Chordata; Mammalia; Rodentia; Dipodidae.